UGAGCACAGAGGCUGUUAGGAGACA
This 25-nucleotide microRNA is filed under the name Eptesicus fuscus (big brown bat). Its description in RNAcentral is "efu-miR-9265". Lineage: Eukaryota; Metazoa; Chordata; Mammalia; Chiroptera; Vespertilionidae. The record is from miRBase by way of RNAcentral.